RNAcentral lists this ribosomal RNA (245 nucleotides) under uncultured bacterium. RNAcentral describes it as "partial 16S ribosomal RNA". It matches the Rfam family "Bacterial small subunit ribosomal RNA", at positions 524 to 769 of the family's 1533-position model. The record is from RNAcentral.
UACGUAGGGGGCUAGCGUUGUUCGGAUUUAUUGGGCGUAAAGGGCAUGUAGGCGGUUAUGUAAGUGUGGAUUUAAAGGCGGAGGCUUAACCUCCGUAUGGUCUGCAAACUGCAUAGCUUGAGUUCAGAAGGGGAAACUGGAAUUCCACGUGUAGGGGUGAAAUCUGUAGAGAUGUGGAAGAAUACCUGUGGCGAAGGCGAGUUUCUGGUCUGAUACUGACGCUGAAAUGCGAAAGUGUGGGGAGC